CCAGCUUCUUGUUUCUACUGUCUCCUUCCGCCGUUCGUCUGCUUGGGGACGAGCACUUGACAGGGAGCACUCAAUCUUUUUCGCGGCGUCGCCAUGAGAGCUAAGUGGAAGAAGAAGAGAAUGAGGAGGUUGAAGAGGAAGCGCCGAAAGAUGAGGCAGAGAUCGAAGUAGAGGCCGUUAUCUGAGGGAUGUUUUCCGACCUAGGGUUUUGGUUACUGCUUAGAUUUCUUUAUGUUAUUCUAGUUUUGGUUGCGUAACCGCUUUGAAUUUUUUUUAUGAUCGAUACAUUUAGUUGUCUUUAAUCGAGAACUUGUUUUCCAGCUUAACUGUUUUAAUUGAGUGAUUUUGAUAUGCUAUUUACCUGUUUUAAUGAUGGCCAUGUGAAAGCAUUAACUCGUUGAUUUCUUCAACAAUA
This is a non-coding RNA of Cucurbita pepo subsp. pepo (vegetable marrow), 415 nucleotides long. Lineage: Eukaryota; Viridiplantae; Streptophyta; Magnoliopsida; Cucurbitales; Cucurbitaceae. The record is from RefSeq and is a predicted model, not a curated record.